RNAcentral lists this ribosomal RNA (254 nucleotides) under uncultured bacterium. Its description in RNAcentral is "partial 16S ribosomal RNA". It matches the Rfam family "Bacterial small subunit ribosomal RNA", at positions 524 to 776 of the family's 1533-position model. The record is from RNAcentral.
GACGAAGGAUGCAAGCGUUAUCCGGAUUCACUGGGUUUAAAGGGUGCGUAGGAGGGCAGGUAAGUCAGUGGUGAAAUCUUCGGGCUUAACCCGAAAACUGCAUUGCGAACUGGUCUGGCUAGAGUGUGUGAGAGGGUAGUGGAAUUCCCGGUGUAGCGGUGAAAUGCGCAGAUAUCGGGAGGAACACCAAUGGCGAAGGCAGCUCGCUGGGACGGUACUGACGCUGAGGCGCGAAAGCGUGGGGAGCAAACAGG